UACGUAGGGUGCGAGCGUUGUCCGGAAUUAUUGGGCGUAAAGGGCUCGUAGGCGGUCUGUUGCGUCAGGAGUGAAAACUCGGGGCUUAACCCCGAGCCUGCUUCUGAUACGGGCAGACUAGAGGUAUGCAGGGGAGAACGGAAUUCCUGGUGUAGCGGUGAAAUGCGCAGAUAUCAAGGAAGAACACCCGUGGCGAAGGCGGCUCUCUGGGACGGUACUGACGCUGAGACGCGAAAGCGUGGGGAGCGAACAGGAUAGAUACCGU
RNAcentral lists this ribosomal RNA (265 nucleotides) under uncultured bacterium. RNAcentral describes it as "partial 16S ribosomal RNA". It matches the Rfam family "Bacterial small subunit ribosomal RNA", at positions 524 to 788 of the family's 1533-position model. The record is from RNAcentral.